UGACGGAGGUUGUUACUCGCCCUUGACGAAGGAGCAGCAAACGGCAGCCGAAUCGAGACAGGAUGUCGAGAUAGGCGACUCUGCGCCAGGGAAGGCGCAUAGGAGCCGGUCGGCUGCCGUCUGCGACAAGUCUUAGGGCGAGUUAAACCGGAGUCC
Regulatory RNA element from Thermacetogenium phaeum DSM 12270, 156 nucleotides. NCBI's taxonomy places the organism in Bacteria, Bacillati, Bacillota, Clostridia, Thermoanaerobacterales, Thermoanaerobacteraceae. The record is from Rfam.